Molecule: unclassified non-coding RNA, 309 nt
Filed under: plant metagenome
Description: partial contains 5.8S ribosomal RNA, internal transcribed spacer 2, and large subunit ribosomal RNA
Rfam family: 5.8S ribosomal RNA (bases 1-105)
Source: RNAcentral
GAAAUGCGAUAAGUAAUGUGAAUUGCAGAAUUCAGUGAAUCAUCGAAUCUUUGAACGCACAUUGCGCCCGCCAGUAUUCUGGCGGGCAUGCCUGUUCGAGCGUCAUUUCAACCAUCAAGCCCCCGGGCUUGUGUUGGGGACCUGCGGCUGCCGCAGGCCCCGAAAACCAGUGGCGGGCUCGCUGUCACACCGGGCGUAGUAGAUUUUUCGUCUCGCCCAGGGCGUGCUGCGGGUUCCGGCCGUUAAAAAGUCUCUCUUUUAACCCAAGGUUGACCUCGGAUCAGGUAGGAAGACCCGCUGAACUUAAGC